UUUUUUCUGCAAGUACGGACACAAGUUUUUAAUUUUAUGUUAUGAUGUUCUACGAACUCAGAAGAUCGUAGUUGACUAAUGUUUUUCUUGCAUGGCAAAUGCUUAUACAGAUUCACUAAUAGAGCAUUACAUAUCCUUUUAUUGAGUAAUGUAUUAUUUUGGUAAAUUACAACAAUGAGAAUGCAAUGGAAGGGGGAAUUAGACUGUUAUUCUAUAAUGAUAUAAUAUUCGUAAAAUGAUUUGUUUGCUGUUUGUGUAUUUAACAAUGACAAGUAUAACAGUGAUUGAUCAGCAAACAAAGUGCUCUGUGCUUGUAUAGUUUCAAAUUCUGAGUCAUGCUCGUAAAUUCGCCAUGUAUGCAUAAUGCAUCUUAUUUAUAUGUGGCAUUACAUAGUGGGUAUUUUUUAGAAUUCUAAAGGGGGAAUUAGACUAAGGCAAUUGUCAAUAAUAGCACCUUUUGAAGUUUAUGUCUCAAAAAUUGCACUAGAAGGAGAAAGUCACAAAAAUGACAUUCAUUAAAGGGUAAAAUAUCCCUUAUACCCUUGGUUUAAAAUUAAAUAAACAAACAAAAAUAAAAAAAAAUAAAAAUAAAUAAAAAUAAAUAAAAUAAAAAAAAAAUUUAUAGUUUCAGAUUAUGUGUUUUCAGAUUCGAAAUUUUUAUAAUUUUUUUUUUUAAAAUUUCUUUUUUUGAAAUUUUUUUUUCGAAAUUUUUUUUUUCGAAAUUUUUUUUAUUUUUUUUCAAAUUUUCUUUUUAUAAUUUAAAAAUACUUUUUGAAACUGUUUUUAAAAUUUUUAUUUUUUUAUUUUAGUAUUUAUUUUUUAUAAAAUUUUAAACCCUAAUUCCAAAACCCCACCCCUUAACUCUAAACCCUAAGGUUUGGAUUAAUUAACCCAAGGGGUAUAAGUGUA
RNAcentral lists this long non-coding RNA (909 nucleotides) under Brassica rapa (field mustard). RNAcentral's name for it is "long non-coding RNA (BRAP_LNC005797)". Lineage: Eukaryota; Viridiplantae; Streptophyta; Magnoliopsida; Brassicales; Brassicaceae. The record is from RNAcentral.